This 1316-nucleotide ribosomal RNA is filed under the name Salmonella enterica subsp. enterica serovar Stanley. RNAcentral's name for it is "partial 23S ribosomal RNA". It matches the Rfam family "Bacterial large subunit ribosomal RNA", at positions 938 to 2236 of the family's 2925-position model. The record is from RNAcentral. Lineage: Bacteria; Pseudomonadati; Pseudomonadota; Gammaproteobacteria; Enterobacterales; Enterobacteriaceae.
ACCAACCCGAUGCAAACUGCGAAUACCGGAGAAUGUUAUCACGGGAGACACACGGCGGGUGCUAACGUCCGUCGUGAAGAGGGAAACAACCCAGACCGCCAGCUAAGGUCCCAAAGUCAUGGUUAAGUGGGAAACGAUGUGGGAAGGCCCAGACAGCCAGGAUGUUGGCUUAGAAGCAGCCAUCAUUUAAAGAAAGCGUAAUAGCUCACUGGUCGAGUCGGCCUGCGCGGAAGAUGUAACGGGGCUAAACCAUGCACCGAAGCUGCGGCAGCGACACUGUGUGUUGUUGGGUAGGGGAGCGUUCUGUAAGCCUGUGAAGGUGUGUCGUGAGGCAUGCUGGAGGUAUCAGAAGUGCGAAUGCUGACAUAAGUAACGAUAAAGCGGGUGAAAAGCCCGCUCGCCGGAAGACCAAGGGUUCCUGUCCAACGUUAAUCGGGGCAGGGUGAGUCGACCCCUAAGGCGAGGCCGAAAGGCGUAGUCGAUGGGAAACGGGUUAAUAUUCCCGUACUUGGUGUUACUGCGAAGGGGGGACGGAGAAGGCUAUGUUGGCCGGGCGACGGUUGUCCCGGUUUAAGCGUGUAGGUGUGUGUUCCAGGUAAAUCCGGUUCACUUUAACACUGAGGCGUGACGACGAGGCACUACGGUGCUGAAGCAACAAAUGCCCUGCUUCCAGGAAAAGCCUCUAAGCAUCAGGUAACAUCAAAUCGUACCCCAAACCGACACAGGUGGUCAGGUAGAGAAUACCAAGGCGCUUGAGAGAACUCGGGUGAAGGAACUAGGCAAAAUGGUGCCGUAACUUCGGGAGAAGGCACGCUGACACGUAGGUGAAGUGAUUUACUCAUGGAGCUGAAGUCAGUCGAAGAUACCAGCUGGCUGCAACUGUUUAUUAAAAACACAGCACUGUGCAAACACGAAAGUGGACGUAUACGGUGUGACGCCUGCCCGGUGCCGGAAGGUUAAUUGAUGGGGUCAGCGCAAGCGAAGCUCCUGAUCGAAGCCCCGGUAAACGGCGGCCGUAACUAUAACGGUCCUAAGGUAGCGAAAUUCCUUGUCGGGUAAGUUCCGACCUGCACGAAUGGCGUAAUGAUGGCCAGGCUGUCUCCACCCGAGACUCAGUGAAAUUGAACUCGCUGUGAAGAUGCAGUGUACCCGCGGCAAGACGGAAAGACCCCGUGAACCUUUACUAUAGCUUGACACUGAACAUUGAGCCUUGAUGUGUAGGAUAGGUGGGAGGCUUUGAAGCGUGGACGCCAGUCUGCGUGGAGCCGACCUUGAAAUACCACCCUUUAAUGUUUGAUGUUCUAACGUGGACCCGU